RNAcentral lists this small nuclear RNA (115 nucleotides) under Salmo salar (Atlantic salmon). Its description in RNAcentral is "U5 spliceosomal RNA (ENSSSAG00000099326.1)". It matches the Rfam family "U5 spliceosomal RNA". Rfam says of the family: U5 RNA is a component of both types of known spliceosome. The precise function of this molecule is unknown, though it is known that the 5' loop is required for splice site selection and p220 binding, and that both the 3' stem-loop and the Sm site are important for Sm protein binding and cap methylation. The record is from RNAcentral. Lineage: Eukaryota; Metazoa; Chordata; Actinopteri; Salmoniformes; Salmonidae.
CGACUCUGGUUUCUCUUCAUUACGCACAAGCCUUUCGCUUUUACUAAAGACUUCCGCGGAGAGGAACACUUACGAGUUCAACGUAUUUUUGAAGGGCUUUGCUUCUGGCAGAGCC